RNAcentral lists this unclassified non-coding RNA (225 nucleotides) under plant metagenome. Its description in RNAcentral is "partial contains small subunit ribosomal RNA, internal transcribed spacer 1, and 5.8S ribosomal RNA". The record is from RNAcentral.
UCUCCGUUGGUGAACCAGCGGAGGGAUCAUUACAGGACUCGCAAGACUCCUACAACCCUGUGAACUUAACUAUAAGCACGUUGCUUCGGCGGGUGUCUCGGAGGGGGUUCUCCCUCCCCGAGACGCUAAACCCGCCGGCAGCCUACUAUACUCUGUCUCUUUGCGUUGGCAUCUCGAGUACAAUCAAACAAGUUAAAACUUUCAACAACGGAUCUCUUGGCUCUU